RNAcentral lists this long non-coding RNA (751 nucleotides) under Hordeum vulgare. RNAcentral describes it as "long non-coding RNA (HVUL_LNC018197)". Lineage: Eukaryota; Viridiplantae; Streptophyta; Magnoliopsida; Poales; Poaceae. The record is from RNAcentral.
CCAUGUCCUCAGGAACAAAAGUAACUACUCACAAGACAUAAUCAUAAUCAUGACCAGAGGUGUAAUGAAUAGCAUGAAGGAUCUGAACAUAAACUCUUCCACCAAGUAAUCCAACUAGCAUCAACUACAAAGAGUAAUCAACACUACUAGUAACCUUACAAGUACCAAUCGGAGUCGUGAGACGGAAAUUGGUUACAAGAGAUGAACUAGGGAUUGGAGAGGAGAUGGUGCUGAUGAAGAUGUUGAUGAAGAUGCCUCCCCUCUGAUGAGAGGAGUGUUGGUGAUGAUGAUGGCGACGAUUUCCCCCUCCGUGAGGGAAGUUUCCCCGGGAGGAUCGUCCUCCCGGAGCUCUAGAUUGGAUCUGCUCAAGUUCCGCCUCGUGGCGGCGGCGAAACCACGAAAAAUCUCCCUAUUGAUUUUUUCCAGACCAAAACCCUUCAUAUAGCAAAAGAGGGGGCUACUGGGCCUUCAGACAGCCCACAAGCCUGCCCUGCGCCACCAGGGGGGUGGUGGCGGUGGGCAAGCUUGUGGGGCCCUGGUGGCCCCCCUCUGGUAGUUCUUUCGCCCUGUAUUUUUAAUAUAUUCUAGAAAAAAUCCACGUAAAUUUUCAGGGCAUUUGGAGAUGUGCAGAAUAGUGGACUAGGAUUUUCUCCUUUUCCAGUCCAGAAUUCCAGCUGCCUGAAUUCUCCCUCUUCAAAUAAACCUUGCAAAAUAAGAUAGAAAAGGCAUAAAUAUGGUACCACAAGUAAUA